Long non-coding RNA from Eptesicus fuscus (big brown bat), 1936 nucleotides. RefSeq lists it as uncharacterized. The record is from RefSeq and is a predicted model, not a curated record. Lineage: Eukaryota; Metazoa; Chordata; Mammalia; Chiroptera; Vespertilionidae. The transcript has 3 exons.
GGGAGCAGCGCCCUGUGCUUUUCUGCACCCUCUAUGGGCGAGUCCUGGCCCCACUACCGUGGCGGUGGGGGCGCGGCCUCUGGAAGAGGCGGGGACAGCUGGGAUGUCCUGGGUUCUCACCUGCCGCCUCUGGGUGCUCUCAGUCCGCGACCCGCGGCGCGAGAGACUAACAAGGACCAGCGGCGUGGGAGCCAACCGCGUCUUCCCGGCCCCUCCGCGAUGUGCAAGGCAGAAUGACCAAGUGCUGGGAAUCGGAAGUCGUUCUCCAGUUGUCCGUGCUGUGCAGUGAACAGGGAGGAAAAUAUUGUCUUGGAAAUCAUCUCUGAGACUUUCUUUCACGAGCCCGUGACCACAGGUGUCCCAACUGUGAGGGACGUGGGGCAGUUGAUGGGGCAGCUGAGCAUCAAACUGCUGCUGAAGGAGGCUGCCUCUGCCCACGAGGAUGAGGAUGAAGACGCGGACGAGUCAGGGAAUGGCCGUGAGAAAGUGGUCUUCCUGUUUAUAAGAUGGGCGCUAAUGGUCCUGUAAAUGUCUUCUGUGUGGACUUGUGGAGGAAAGGUAUCCUGACAUUCAGGGAUGCCUGUUUUCAAUCUAUUUGCUAGUAUCUGUAACUACUCUCUCCAAUAUGAUUACCACUAGCUACAUAAAACUUUUCAAAAUUAAAUUUACAUGAACUAAAAUGAAGUAAAACUUAAAAUUCAGUUAGUGUCGACCUUUAGGUUUCCCUUGGUGCAUACCUGAGGAGUGUUGGCUUGGUUUACAGACCAGCUGGUUUUCAUUCAAACCAAAUAGAAAUCAAAAGCUAGAAAAUGUGUCUCCCCUCGAAGCAAGAGUAUUAACAUGAGAAUGACCGCCUAUGGGUGAUUCAGCCACAUGUUUGUAUGAAUUGACAUGAUGUGGCUUCAUCUUACACAGCAAGCUUUCUUUGUGAAAUAAUUGCUACAGAUCACAUUCCCAUUUUUUUUAUUUUGGCUUAAAAAUUGUUGACAUGUUGGGUUUAAUUUUAAUGAUAGGUUGUUUCAGUUGUGUCAGUGAACUGUGGCCCUUCAAGUAGGACUGGGAAGGUUUUCCUUGUUUUCAUACCAUCCUGUCCCAGGGCAACCAUUGCCUAUUCCUCAGUUGAAUUUGACCGGUAUGUUCAAUUCUGGGCUCAAGAAGGAAACAUAAAACGAUUAAGUAAGUGUUUAGUGGAGAGAGUUCUUUUGAAUUAUUUCAGUUACAACCAAAGCAAUGCUCUUUCUAUCCCUAGUGAUUUUAAAUAUUAUUAGCCAGCCUAGUGGCUCUCAGUGCUCAGAGAGCAAAUCAAACUAAACACUGAGGGAAAAAGAACAUAGCUCAUCAAGUUAGUGUUGCUUUUGAUGAGAUCAUUUCAAGAUCUCAAACAGCAGUUGGGAAAAUUUAGAAAGAUAUUAUUGAUAUUGGUGAGAUAAUUCAAAGACUCUUAAAGUGUCGUCUAUAUAAAUAGUCUUGAAAUGUCUGGUAAUGAAUAUAUGAUCCUUGUACAAAAACCAGGAAAUAGACUGAGCAAAAAGGGAAGAGACAGUCAUUUCUAGUAGUCCCUCUUACAAGAGUUCACAAGUGUUGACAUUGUGUUGGAUACAUUUCCAAAUUUUAUUUCUCCAUUUUAUCAGUUUAUAUUUGUUUACUUAUCACAAAAUUUAAAUCUGUUUUAGAAGUGAUUUAAAAAUGUAUACUUCCAUAUUUAUAAUGGUUACACAUAAUAAGUGCACAAUUAUAGUAUGCAUAUGUAUAUGAGCAGGUAUCGUCUACAGAUAUUUUUAAUCAACAACUUUAUUUCUAUUGUUUCCAAAGUAUUUCAUUUAAUGAUAUAUAGUUCACUUAAUGGAAACUUGUUUUUGGCUAUUAUACAUAUACUGUUGGGGUAUAUUCCUCUUAUUUGUCUAUAUAUUUAGGAUAAUUGCUUAGAAUUUUUAAG